Molecule: ribosomal RNA, 1305 nt
Filed under: Microbacterium sp.
Lineage: Bacteria; Bacillati; Actinomycetota; Actinomycetes; Micrococcales; Microbacteriaceae
Description: bacterial SSU rRNA
Rfam family: Bacterial small subunit ribosomal RNA
Source: RNAcentral
ACACGUGAGCAACCUGCCCCUCACUCUGGGAUAAGCGCUGGAAACGGCGUCUAAUACUGGAUACGAGACGCGACCGCAUGGUCAGUGUCUGGAAAGAUUUUUUGGUGGGGGAUGGGCUCGCGGCCUAUCAGCUUGUUGGUGAGGUAAUGGCUCACCAAGGCGUCGACGGGUAGCCGGCCUGAGAGGGUGACCGGCCACACUGGGACUGAGACACGGCCCAGACUCCUACGGGAGGCAGCAGUGGGGAAUAUUGCACAAUGGGCGGAAGCCUGAUGCAGCAACGCCGCGUGAGGGAUGACGGCCUUCGGGUUGUAAACCUCUUUUAGCAGGGAAGAAGCGAAAGUGACGGUACCUGCAGAAAAAGCACCGGCUAACUACGUGCCAGCAGCCGCGGUAAUACGUAGGGUGCAAGCGUUAUCCGGAAUUAUUGGGCGUAAAGAGCUCGUAGGCGGUUUGUCGCGUCUGCUGUGAAUCCCGAGGCUCAACCUCGGGCUUGCAGUGGGUACGGGCAGACUAGAGUGCGGUAGGGGAGAUUGGAAUUCCUGGUGUAGCGGUGGAAUGCGCAGAUAUCAGGAGGAACACCGAUGGCGAAGGCAGAUCUCUGGGCCGUAACUGACGCUGAGGAGCGAAAGGGUGGGGAGCAAACAGGCUUAGAUACCCUGGUAGUCCACCCCGUAAACGUUGGGAACUAGUUGUGGGGUCCUUUCCACGGAUUCCGUGACGCAGCUAACGCAUUAAGUUCCCCGCCUGGGGAGUACGGCCGCAAGGCUAAAACUCAAAGGAAUUGACGGGGACCCGCACAAGCGGCGGAGCAUGCGGAUUAAUUCGAUGCAACGCGAAGAACCUUACCAAGGCUUGACAUACACGAGAACGGGCCAGAAAUGGUCAACUCUUUGGACACUCGUGAACAGGUGGUGCAUGGUUGUCGUCAGCUCGUGUCGUGAGAUGUUGGGUUAAGUCCCGCAACGAGCGCAACCCUCGUUCUAUGUUGCCAGCACGUAAUGGUGGGAACUCAUGGGAUACUGCCGGGGUCAACUCGGAGGAAGGUGGGGAUGACGUCAAAUCAUCAUGCCCCUUAUGUCUUGGGCUUCACGCAUGCUACAAUGGCCGGUACAAUGGGCUGCAAUACCGUGAGGUGGAGCGAAUCCCAAAAAGCCGGUCCCAGUUCGGAUUGAGGUCUGCAACUCGACCUCAUGAAGUCGGAGUCGCUAGUAAUCGCAGAUCAGCAACGCUGCGGUGAAUACGUUCCCGGGUCUUGUACACACCGCCCGUCAAGUCAUGAAAGUCGGUAACACCUGAAGCCGG